UGACCUCAAAUCAGGUAGGACUACCCGCUGAACUUAAGCAACAA
This 44-nucleotide ribosomal RNA is filed under the name fungal sp. MR41. RNAcentral describes it as "partial 28S ribosomal RNA". The record is from RNAcentral. Lineage: Eukaryota; Fungi.